This 250-nucleotide ribosomal RNA is filed under the name uncultured bacterium. RNAcentral describes it as "partial 16S ribosomal RNA". It matches the Rfam family "Bacterial small subunit ribosomal RNA", at positions 524 to 773 of the family's 1533-position model. The record is from RNAcentral.
UACGUAGGGCGCAAGCGUUAUCCGGAUUUAUUGGGCGUAAAGAGCUCGUAGGCGGUUUGUCGCGUCUGCCGUGAAAGUCCGAGGCUCAACCUCGGAUCUGCGGUGGGUACGGGCAGACUAGAGUGAUGUAGGGGAGACUGGAAUUCCUGGUGUAGCGGUGAAAUGCGCAGAUAUCAGGAGGAACACCGAUGGCGAAGGCAGGUCUCUGGGCAUCUACUGACGCUGAGGAGCGAAAGCAUGGGGAGCGAAC